Molecule: ribosomal RNA, 1325 nt
Filed under: metagenome
Description: bacterial LSU rRNA
Rfam family: Bacterial large subunit ribosomal RNA
Source: RNAcentral
AGUGGAUGGGGAGCAACCUAGUUGUGCGUGUGUAAAGGUAGUGCCAAGAAAAGCGAUGAUCAUGUUGAAAAUCAAUUCCCGGUACCCGAAACCGACACAGGUGGGCAAGUAGAGAAUACUAAGGGGCGCGAGGUAACUCUCUCCAAGGAACUCGGCAAAAUGACCCCGUAACUUAGGGAGAAGGGGUGCCACCGAGAGGUGGUCGCAGUGAAGAGGCCCAGGCGACUGUUUAGCAAAAACAUAGGUCUCUGCAAACUCGAAAGAGGAGGUAUAGGGGCUGACGCCUGCCCAGUGCCGGAAGGUUAAAGAAGUUGGUCAGUUUUAGGAUGAAGCUAGCGACUGAAGCCCCGGUGAACGGCGGCCGUAACUAUAACGGUCCUAAGGUAGCGAAAUUCCUUGUCGGGUAAGUUCCGACCCGCACGAAAGGCGUAACGAUCUGGGCGCUGUCUCGGAGAGAGGCUCGGCGAAAUAGGAUUGUCUGUGAAGAUACGGACUACCUGCAUUUGGACAGAAAGACCCUAUGAAGCUUUACUAUAGCUUGGAAUUGUGUUCGGGCUUCCUGUGCGCAGGAUAGGUGGGAGGCGAAGAAGGUAUUCUUGUGGGGAUACUGGAGCCAACGGUGAGAUACCACUCUCAGGAGGCUAGAAUUCUAACUUAAUUAAGGACAGUUUCAGGUGGGUAGUUUGACUGGGGCGGUCGCCUCCAAAAAGGUAACGGAGGCGUACAAAGGUUCCCUCAGACUGGUUGGAAAUCAGUCGCAGAGUGCAAAGGCAGAAGGGAGCUUGACUGCGAGAAGUACAGUUCGAGCAGGGUGGAAACACGGUCUUAGUGAUCCGACGGUGCUGUGUGGAAGGGCCGUCGUUCAACGGAUAAAAGUUACUCUAGGAUAACAGGCUGAUCUCCCCCAAGAGUUCACAUCGACGGGGAGGUUUGGCACCUCGAUGUCGGCUCAUCGCAACCUGGGGCGGAAGUACGUCCCAAGGGUUGGGCUGUUCGCCCAUUAAAGCGGUACGUGAGCUGGGUUCAGAACGUCGUGAGACAGUUCGGUCCAUAUCCGAUGUAGGCGUGAGAAUAUUGAGAGGAGCCUUCCUUAGUACGAGAGGACCGGGAAGGACGCACCGCUGGUGUACCUGUUAUGAUGCCAAUUGUAAACGCAGGGUAGCCAAGUGCGGAGAGGAUAACCGCUGAAAGCAUCUAAGUGGGAAGCCCACCUCAAGAUGAGUAUUCUGGUGUAAGGUCACGGGAAGACGACCCGUAAAUAGGCACGAGGUGGAAGUGCAGAGAUGUAUGAAGCCGAAGUGUACUAAUAGACCGUCGGCUUGACC